AAUGUUCCGGCGAAAUUAUGUUUGUGUCGAUUUAUCGCAAUCUGGCAACACUCUUUUCCAUUUCUUUCCCGCUGUCAGAAAUACGCCCUAACAUUCGUCUGCCUCUCGUUUCUAUGUCAGGUUGUCAGAGUUUGAGUUCUUCUAAAUCACCGGCAUUUACGUUUCUUUCUGUGAUUUUGUUCCAUUUUUCUGUCUAACAGAGCUCAACUGUCUUGAGAUAUUCUGCAUUCUGUCAGUUUAUUCCACUGUGUGAUUCGUUCUAUGGUCUACAAAGCUUGCAAGCAACUUAUGUUUUGUCCUUGCUUCGCAGGCACCAUCGUUAACUCUUACAGUCAUACUGCCAUUCUGGCAGACAAAUCUUUACUCACAAUACAUUGAAGAGAAAACCACUAC
RNAcentral lists this long non-coding RNA (393 nucleotides) under Daphnia magna. RNAcentral describes it as "uncharacterized LOC123469204". Lineage: Eukaryota; Metazoa; Arthropoda; Branchiopoda; Diplostraca; Daphniidae. The record is from RNAcentral.